AACCCAGAUCCGUCACAUAGCACAGACAGGGAUGUAGGUUCCGACACUUCUACCGAGCAGGCAGAUGUUCGGGGAAAGGGAAAGGAACCUCCCUUACAUCAACACCUCAGCACAAUAUUAUGCGAUGAGGACUACACAAUUUCCACAAACCCCGUAGAAGUGAUAAAAAAUGUCUAUCACAAAAAUUAAUAAAGAGAUUGUUGCUUUGGUAUGUAUGACCCCUCAGACUAAUGAGAUAAAAGAUAGGCUGAUUCAAUUGAUGCAAGCAUCAAAAAACAUGCAAAAUUUCAUGUGUGAUCAUCAACCUGGUGGACAUGAUCAUGGUAUUGUAGGUAGUGCAGGUGCGGCCAAUGUUCCUGUGGAAAGGCCGCCUCAUUCAAGGUUAUUACCGACUGCAAUAUUGGCAACAGGAAGCAUGUAGAUGUCCUCUACUGCUCGUCAUGUUGACCCACCCACUGUUGCAAAAGAUGCACAUGAGGAUGCACUAGAGGCGAAUACUAGUGAUACCAUAACAUCAUUUCCUGGAUAUUCCCGUAUUGCUAAUAUGGGAACAUUGCAGACCAGAUUGGUGGUGAGCGACGAAGAAUUGAUUCCCUUGAAGA
This is a long non-coding RNA of Cryptomeria japonica (Japanese cedar), 602 nucleotides long. RefSeq lists it as uncharacterized. The transcript is spliced from 5 exons. The record is from RefSeq and is a predicted model, not a curated record. NCBI's taxonomy places the organism in Eukaryota, Viridiplantae, Streptophyta, Pinopsida, Cupressales, Cupressaceae.